UACGGAGGGGGCUAGCGUUGUUCGGAAUUACUGGGCGUAAAGCGCGCGUAGGCGGACCUGCAAGUCGGGGGUGAAAGCCCGAGGCUCAAUCUCGGAACUGCCUUCGAUACUGCGGGUCUCGAGUCCGGGAGAGGUGAGUGGAAUUCCUAGUGUAGAGGUGAAAUUCGUAGAUAUUAGGAAGAACACCAGUGGCGAAGGCGACUACCUGGCCUGUUCUUGACGCUGAGGCGCGAAAGCUAGGGGAGCAAACGGG
RNAcentral lists this ribosomal RNA (253 nucleotides) under uncultured bacterium. RNAcentral describes it as "partial 16S ribosomal RNA". It matches the Rfam family "Bacterial small subunit ribosomal RNA", at positions 524 to 776 of the family's 1533-position model. The record is from RNAcentral.